UGAGGAACAUGACCUUCGGCGGGGGAUAGCCGGCCCAACGGCCGGGUAAUACCGCGUACGACCACAUGGGGACAUCCCUGAGUGGUGAAAGCAGCAAUGCGCCGAUGGAGUGCCUCGCGGCCUAUCAGCUAGUUGGUGAGGUAACGGCUCACCAAGGCAACGACGGGUAGCUGGUCUGAGAGGAUGGCCAGCCACAUUGGGACUGAGACACGGCCAGACUNUACGGGAGG
RNAcentral lists this ribosomal RNA (230 nucleotides) under uncultured bacterium. RNAcentral's name for it is "partial 16S ribosomal RNA". It matches the Rfam family "Bacterial small subunit ribosomal RNA", at positions 118 to 348 of the family's 1533-position model. The record is from RNAcentral.